This is a non-coding RNA of Manis javanica (Malayan pangolin), 407 nucleotides long. Lineage: Eukaryota; Metazoa; Chordata; Mammalia; Pholidota; Manidae. The record is from RefSeq and is a predicted model, not a curated record.
CCCGUCUGGGCUCCAGCACACACAGAGCAAGCCCCCAAAGUAGCUCUUCAUGAGCCCCCGCAGGAGCAUGGAGUCGAAGUGGAAGAUGCGCAGGCAGCCAUCCUGGCUAACGCAGGCCAGGUGCCGGCCGUCAGGCUUAAGGACUCACAUCCAAUCCUUCAACUGAAUCCAAUCUCUUCUCAUCCCUGCCACCCUGGUCCCAGCCACCAUCAACCUUGCAAGUGGCCCAGCCAGCCUCCAGGCCACCACACGAUGCACCCCAGCUGAUAAGGCUCUAAAAGCCGAAGUCUUCCCCAUGGCCUUCCAGACCCUAUACGGUGGCCCCAGCAGGUUUCUCAGAACUUAUCUACCACCAUCCCAGCAGUGGCUGCUCUGGCCCGUGACCUUUCUGUUGUCCGGCUUUUGUC